Molecule: ribosomal RNA, 462 nt
Filed under: uncultured bacterium
Lineage: Bacteria
Description: partial 16S ribosomal RNA
Rfam family: Bacterial small subunit ribosomal RNA
Source: RNAcentral
GAUGAACGCUGGCGGCGUGCUUAACACAUGCAAGUCGAACGGAAAGGCUCCUGCUUGCAGGGGUACUCGAGUGGCGAACGGGUGAGUAACACGUGGGUGAUCUGCCCUGCACUUCGGGAUAAGCCUGGGAAACUGGGUCUAAUACCGGAUAGGACGAUGGUUUGGAUGCCAUUGUGGAAAGUUUUUUCGGUGUGGGAUGAGCUCGCGGCCUAUCAGCUUGUUGGUGGGGUAAUGGCCUACCAAGGCGUCGACGGGUAGCCGGCCUGAGAGGGUGUACGGCCACUGGGACUGAGAUACGGCCCAGACUCCUACGGGAGGCAGCAGUGGGGAAUAUUGCACAAUGGGCGCAAGCCUGAUGCAGCGACGCCGCGUGGGGGAUGACGGCCUUCGGGUUGUAAACUCCUUUCGCUAGGGACGAAGCGCAAGUGACGGUACCUGGAGAAGAAGCACCGGCUAACUACG